Molecule: long non-coding RNA, 2076 nt
Organism: Ochotona princeps (American pika)
Lineage: Eukaryota; Metazoa; Chordata; Mammalia; Lagomorpha; Ochotonidae
Exons: 5
Source: RefSeq, a predicted model, not a curated record
AAGUGCCUACAGCAAUGCCGCUGCCGGCUGGGUGUGUUUUGUGGUAGAAUUCGGCAGAGCUCGUCGCACAGCGCACAGUAGGUGCAAAGCAAAUGGUGGCCCUGACGGUCUGGACCUACAAGCAUCUCUUUGGGACAGCCCCCAUCGGCUGAGUGUGGGGCCUGAGGCACGCAGCGGCCAGAGCCUCAUCUGAGCAGGGCGAAGCUGCUUCCGUGUGCCGCACCUGACCUCGCUGGCCCCAGCAGGGCCCAGGGCCGGGGCUACGGAGAACAGGCACUAUGUCGGAAACCGCGGCGCGAGCCGGAACACAACGUCCUUUGUAAACCCUUCACACCUGGUCCACACCAGCACGCGUCCAGCGCCUGAGGCCUUCGGAACCCUGAGUACCCUGCACCCCGGUGACGGAGUGGGGUGAAGGAGGCGCAGCGCCCUCCCGACUCGGGCUCCACGGCCUGGCUGACGGAGGAAGGAGAGGAGAGCUCCGUGGUAUCCCCUCGGCCGAGCGCCGCGGGCCCGGGAGGCCAUUUUGAGAGCGCGAGGAGCGGCCGCAAGAUGGCUGCGUGGGCACCAGGACAUGCUCUGAAGUCAGAAGGCAGAGAAGAGAGAAGCUUGAGCACUGGUGGCAGAAGACGGAAGGUGGGUCCCUGCCAGUCCAGCCAGCCCUACCCGAGACUGAGGCCAUCUCCAGGUCCCUGGGUUGGUGGCAUUUCCUUGCACCUGGCCGCCAGCAGUGGCGUUUCACCUUGCCUUGGUAGCAGCAGCCAUCUCGGGGCAGAUUUAAAGAGAGAAGAGACAGAAAGAUCUUCCAUCAGCUGGCUCACUCCACAAAUGGCCACAACCACCAGAGCCAGUCUGAUCCAAAGCUGGAAACUAGGAGCUUCCUCUGGGUCCCUCAUAUUGCCCUCCAAGUGAAGUGAUGGGACAGCCCCUUUCCAACUUGUAUGGAGUUGGGGACAGAGAAGUCAGUCGCAGCACCCGCCAAGGUCACAGGACUGGAGUACAGCCGAGCUCAUCAAGGAGGGGACAGGGAAGCAGCACCCAACCCUGCAUGCGGAGUCAGGGAUGAAGACGGAGGGGGACUCGGCAGUGCUGCCAUUGGGGGUCACCUGGCAUGGCCCCCAGGGAAAUGUGUCCAAUUCACCUGAUGGGACCUUUGCUUUUGUCUAUGGGCCCAGCACACCUCAAUCUGUUCUGAGUCUGAUGGGCUGUGGGGCACUCUGGCCAGGCCUCUCCCCUUCUGCCCUCCUGAACCCCCCUGCCAAGGGAAACUGCCACCAAUAUGUCCACCUCAAAGAAGGCAGCAUGCCAGGAAAGCUACCCAAGCACGGGGCAGCAGCCUUCUAGCAGCUAACGAUUCCCCCUCCCCAGCUGUCCUCCUCCUUGGUGCUCCUCUUCCUCCCUCCUCCUGCUCACAGCAGGCAAGGCCUGACUGGGGGAGGCGUGCUGCUGUGCUGUUGCCAGGGAGCUGGGAGGCUGGCUUGAGCUAUGCAGGGAAAAGGCUCUGCCUGUCAGGGUGUCUGGGAUGAGCCGAGGGCCUGUGCUGCUGGGCUCCAACACGUCUCGCCUCUUGUUCUGUGUCUGAGAACAGUGAAGCUGGGCAAGGUUCAAGGGCAAGCUCGCCAUUCAUUGGUCAGGGGUUCUCCAUGUCCCAUGGCUCCCAGGGAUGCCUCCCCCUACUUCUCCCUCCUGUGACACAUUUCAGUGCCUUUGGUCAGGACUACACACCAGCCUUUGCCCAACCCCCUCUCUCAAGCUCCCUGAAUAAUCUCUUCCAGGGGCACCUGGCAGCAUAAACCCAACAGCUGCAGGAAGCCCUUUUGACAGGAUCCCAGCCUUGCUGGCCUGCUCUGCAUUCCAGGGCCUGUGUGGGCUCUACUACCUCCUGACUCACAGCACCCUUAGGCCAGCUGCCUGCACAGGCCUGGACGGGUGACUAGUGAGCACUGCCCUAUGGACCAUGUGCCAGUGUCAUGCAGUUCUCUGGACUCCCUGAAUGUCCCCAUAUCCACAGGGGUCCAAAUCAGUGCCAUCACGGGCACUGUUGCUAGGAGAAUGCCAGUGAUCAUCGUAUUUGUA